GUAUGGUUACAGUUGUCAGAGACAAGGGGCAGACGAUGGCACCCUGCGGGCUGAGGGGCAGCAAUAAACCAUGAUGGCAAUAGAGGAUCUGAGAUGAUGAGGACAGACACUUGAGCUGAGGAAGCAGUGCUAUCCACUGUGUUUCUCCUCUCAAGGAUGUAGGUAAUGUGGGAAGAUGGAGGGCUGACAGGAGAUGCUUGUAGGAGAUUCCCAGGGAGGUGUCCUAGAAACACUUUCAGCUACUUUCCCAAAGCUAAGUGUUUCCAAAGAUGCUUGAAACAGUUGUGUAGAGAACAGGAUGGACCAAACUGGGAGAUGACUGAGCACCGGAUGUCCCUUGUGAUUCUCAGAGUGCCAUGAAGUGAGCCCUCUGUGACAUCACAGGGUAAAUCCCUGCCUUAGUAACUGCAGAGUGCUUAGCCUGAGGAUAACUCAGAGUCCAGCAAGGAGGUCUGGGAUUCACACUGAGCACGUGUGUCUGCCUAGGCUUGGGCUGUUUUCUGGGAUGGACUACCUGAAAUUCAUCACGAGGAACAGCUUCAUUGAAGAAGCACAAAGAAAAGGCAGCCGUUGAGAAAGGGAGUCUGUGUCUGCCGUGAGAGGAUCAGAGACCUGCGGGGACACAGAGCAAGGCAGGAGUUCGGGGCCAGCAGAGAAGAGCUUGCUCUCACCGGUGAACAAUGUGGCCUUGUUGGGGCUGGAGGAAUAACUCAGAGGGUGAAAGGCAAACCUGACAACCUGCGUUCAUCAAAUAUCCCCCAACCACAGAUUUGCACAUACAUAGGCCCUCACCCAUCCACAGGUGACUUCCAAAUCUACUCAGGCUGACAAUCGAGAUGAACCCUCAGGACGUCUCGUAUUUAUGAACAUUCUUCUAUCUACUGGAUCAUUCUCAUAAACAUGUGUGGCACGUGCUACAGUUUUGCCGUCCUACAAUAAAUAAAUAUCUGGGAAGAUGA
This is a long non-coding RNA of Mus musculus (house mouse), 959 nucleotides long. RefSeq annotates it as predicted gene, 32425. The record is from RefSeq and is a predicted model, not a curated record. NCBI's taxonomy places the organism in Eukaryota, Metazoa, Chordata, Mammalia, Rodentia, Muridae. The transcript has 3 exons.